UUUAUGUCACCAAUAUUAAAAACAUUUCAUAAUUCCCACAUUUCCUAAAAUACAUCUAAAACAUGCUAUUUAAUUGAUUCCCCUGCACCACUAAAUUCGGACUCCCCCCUGACCAAUUUGUGCUCUGGUCCCACCCCGGAACCUUUAUCUGGGUGUCCGUUCCUCGGGGAAUCUUUUAACUGGAACACCCUGGAGCGGACACAGAACAGCAACCACAGGUGGAGCAGCGCCCUCACGCCGGCAACCCCCGGACAACCACACCUCAACCACGCACUAUGUGGAUGUCAUCGCUCAGCUGAAAGUGAAACACGAUACAAAGAAACAACAAAACACAUCACCAGACUCCGGCCAAACAACUGUCUUGAUUUUUAACAUCUUACCUCCAAUGUUUUCUCAAAACACACUCCUGAAAGCAUUUCCUCAGCUCCUCAGUUCCUGCUCGUCUGAGUCCUAUGUUUAUCCUUUGUUUGUUGUUCAGUAUGAUGUUUGUUUGGUUUGCUAUGUUGUGCCUUAAUUAGGGUUUUGCUGUUUUAUUGAUUUUCUAUUUAUGCAAAGCUCUUUGUGCUACAUUUUGCUGUACAUAAAGUGCUUUACAAACUAA
This is a long non-coding RNA of Notolabrus celidotus (New Zealand spotty), 601 nucleotides long. RefSeq lists it as uncharacterized. The record is from RefSeq and is a predicted model, not a curated record. The transcript is spliced from 3 exons. NCBI's taxonomy places the organism in Eukaryota, Metazoa, Chordata, Actinopteri, Labriformes, Labridae.